CUUCAACGAGCCGAGCCACAGAGGCUGUUCGGCGUCCCGGCCCUGGCCGUAGGUGGCGAUGAGGGCCUGCGCCUC
Molecule: non-coding RNA, 75 nt
Organism: Streptomyces sp. Root431
Lineage: Bacteria; Bacillati; Actinomycetota; Actinomycetes; Kitasatosporales; Streptomycetaceae
Source: Rfam